CCCGCUGAACUUAAGCAUAUCAGUAAGCGGAGGAAAAGAAACUAACAAGGAUUCCCCUAGUAACGGCGAGUGAAGCGGGAAAAGCUCAAAUUUAAAAUCUGGCGUGCCUUUGGUCGCCCGAGUUGUAGUCUAGAGAGGCGCUUUCUGUGCUGGACUGUGUAAAAGUUUUUUGGAACAAAGCAUCAUAGAGGGUGAGAAUCCCGUCUUUGACACAGACUCCCAGUGCUAUGUGAUGCGUCUUCAAAGAGUCGAGUUGUUUGGGAGUGCAGCUCAAAAUGGGUGGUAAAUUCCAUCUAAAGCUAAAUAUUGGCGAGAGACCGAUAGCGAACAAGUACCGUGAGGGAAAGAUGAAAAGCACUUUGGAAAGAGAGUUAAACAGUACGUGAAAUUGUUGAAAGGGAAGCGCUUGAAGUCAGUCGCGUUUACCAGGACUCAGCCUUGCCUCUAGCUUGGCGCACUUCCUGGUCAACGGGCCAGCAUCAAUUUUGACCAUUGGAAAAAGGCUCAUGGGAAGGUGGCAUCUCCGGAUGUGUUAUAGCCCCGAGUCAUAUACUUUGGUUGGGAUUGAGGAACUCAGCAUGCCCUUGUGGUCGGGGGUUUACCCCACGUAUCAUGCUUAGGAUGCUGGCGUAAUGGCUUUAAGCGACCCGUCUUGAAACACGG
This 663-nucleotide ribosomal RNA is filed under the name uncultured fungus. RNAcentral describes it as "eukaryotic LSU rRNA". It matches the Rfam family "Eukaryotic large subunit ribosomal RNA", at positions 24 to 664 of the family's 3401-position model. Lineage: Eukaryota; Fungi. The record is from RNAcentral.